RNAcentral lists this ribosomal RNA (439 nucleotides) under uncultured bacterium. RNAcentral describes it as "partial 16S ribosomal RNA". It matches the Rfam family "Bacterial small subunit ribosomal RNA", at positions 339 to 795 of the family's 1533-position model. The record is from RNAcentral.
CUACGGGAGGCUGCAGUGGGGAAUAUUGCACAAUGGAGGAAACUCUGAUGCAGCAACGCCGCGUGGAGGAUGACACUUUUCGGAGCGUAAACUCCUUUUAUAUAGGAAGAAGAUGACGGUACUAUAUGAAUAAGCGCCGGCUAACUCCGUGCCAGCAGCCGCGGUAAUACGGAGGGCGCAAGCGUUACUCGGAAUCACUGGGCGUAAAGAGCGUGUAGGCGGAUUAAAAAGUCAGAAGUGAAAUCCUAUAGCUUAACUAUAGAACUGCUUCUGAAACUCUUAAUCUAGAAUAUGGGAGAGGUAGAUGGAAUUUCUGGUGUAGGGGUAAAAUCUGUAGAGAUCAGAAGGAAUACCGAUUGCGAAGGCGAUCUACUAGAACAUUAUUGACGCUGAGACGCGAAAGCGUGGGGAGCAAACAGGAUUAGAUACCCUUGUAGUC